Pipistrellus kuhlii (Kuhl's pipistrelle) is the source of this 1105-nucleotide long non-coding RNA. RefSeq lists it as uncharacterized. NCBI's taxonomy places the organism in Eukaryota, Metazoa, Chordata, Mammalia, Chiroptera, Vespertilionidae. The record is from RefSeq and is a predicted model, not a curated record. The transcript is spliced from 4 exons.
UCUUCUAUUUAACGGAUCUGCCGCCAGGUCCCGCAGCUGGUUAACUACCGAUAGAGCAUCGGGUUCUUCAUUCAUGGUGGAGGAGGAGGAAUUCAUCUUCUCUGCCAAUCACAUGAACAAAAUCUUCUUACAUUCUGUCCCGGGGCUUCAGGAAUCCGGGGCCUGCCGCACCAUCGGGGCCGCACCGAGGGACGAGACAGAGGGGCGUGGGGAGGGGGGGGGUCCCCUCCGUUCGCAGCCGCCGCCGCGGCCUCGGAUGCAGCGGACACUGACUCCUAAAGCCGAACGGCGAGGGCGCCAGCGGAAAGAGCUUCUACGGACUCUCCCCCAUGACCCUGAAACCUCCGGCGGGACUGCCCUCUGAUUGGCUGGCGCCGCUGCGACGCGAAGGGAAGGCGCCCAAUCGGCGAAGGCUUUCUUGGGCCGGAGCGUUCAUUGGUCACCUGGGGCAAUGCCCUGAGUGUGGAGCGGGAGCGUCCAAUGAGAAGCCUGGAGCCGGGGCUGGACCGAACGCCUCGCCGUCCGCGGAACUGGUUCCAGCGGAGAAACCUUCGCCCUUCCUCGGCUCCGACUCCCCGCGCUCCCCUCCUUGCGUUCAGAAAUUCAAAUGGAACGUGUGUGUGUGUGUUUCUCUAGCAACUCUUGUAGUUCUCAGGAAGCAAUUUCAUUCGCUUCUCUGAGUCUUACUUCAUAAUCUUUAAAAUGUAUUUGAUUUCCCCCCAAGAACACUGGCACUACCGGAGGCUUUCGUUCAUGUCUCGCUCCUGUCUGAGUCUUCCUAGCAGCGCGAAGUCCGCAAGGUGCUGUGAUGCGUCUAUAACUCUCUGGAAAAUAUAGGAAAGAAUGUUUACACAUCAAGAGCACCUGACAUCCAUUAUCCAGACCAUUGGUCUUCCGGAAGGUUAUCAUCUCAGAACAAUCCAGAGGCUAAGGAAGCAGGACUGAGUCUUCUCAAGUAUGUACUUUUUACUAUAAGAACUCUCAGCUUUUCUUUCUUCUUCUUCAAAAUAUUCUGGGUAUUGCCUAGUUGUGUUUAUGAUUUGAAAAUUCUGAGACACUUGACUAUAAAUCUUUAUCAUUUCGUUCUAGCCAAAGCCUCCUUAUC